GAUGAACGCUGGCGGCGUGCCUAAUACAUGCAAGUCGAGCGAACGGACGAGAAGCUUGCUUCUCUGAUGUUAGCGGCGGACGGGUGAGUAACACGUGGAUAACCUACCUAUAAGACUGGGAUAACUUCGGGAAACCGGAGCUAAUACCGGAUAAUAUUUUGAACCGCAUGGUUCAAAAGUGAAAGACGGUCUUGCUGUCACUUAUAGAUGGAUCCGCGCUGCAUUAGCUAGUUGGUAAGGUAACGGCUUACCAAGGCAACGAUGCAUAGCCGACCUGAGAGGGUGAUCGGCCACACGGGAACUGAGACACGGUCCAGACUCCUACGGGAGGCAGCAGUAGGGAAUCUUCCGCAAUGGGCGAAAGCCUGACGGAGCAACGCCGCGUGAGUGAUGAAGGUCUUCGGAUCGUAAAACCCUGUUAUUAGGGAAGAACAUAUGUGUAAGUAACUGUGCACAUCUUGACGGUACCUAAUCAGAAAGCCACGGCUAACUACGUG
RNAcentral lists this ribosomal RNA (497 nucleotides) under uncultured bacterium. Its description in RNAcentral is "partial 16S ribosomal RNA". It matches the Rfam family "Bacterial small subunit ribosomal RNA", at positions 28 to 507 of the family's 1533-position model. The record is from RNAcentral.